This 1492-nucleotide ribosomal RNA is filed under the name Pseudomonas fluorescens. RNAcentral's name for it is "partial 23S ribosomal RNA". It matches the Rfam family "Bacterial large subunit ribosomal RNA", at positions 1 to 1548 of the family's 2925-position model. The record is from RNAcentral. Lineage: Bacteria; Pseudomonadati; Pseudomonadota; Gammaproteobacteria; Pseudomonadales; Pseudomonadaceae.
GGUCAAGUGAAGAAGCGCAUACGGUGGAUGCCUUGGCAGUCAGAGGCGAUGAAAGACGUGGUAGCCUGCGAAAAGCUUCGGGGAGUCGGCAAACAGACUUUGAUCCGGAGAUGUCUGAAUGGGGGAACCCAGCCAUCAUAAGAUGGUUACCUUACACUGAAUACAUAGGUGUAUGGAGCGAACCAGGGGAACUGAAACAUCUAAGUACCCUGAGGAAAAGAAAUCAACCGAGAUUCCCUUAGUAGUGGCGAGCGAACGGGGACUAGCCCUUAAGUGGCUUUGAGAUUAGCGGAACGCUCUGGAAAGUGCGGCCAUAGUGGGUGAUAGCCCUGUACGCGAAAAUCUCUUAGUCAUGAAAUCGAGUAGGACGGAGCACGAGAAACUUUGUCUGAAUAUGGGGGGACCAUCCUCCAAGGCUAAAUACUACUGACUGACCGAUAGUGAACUAGUACCGUGAGGGAAAGGCGAAAAGAACCCCGGAGAGGGGAGUGAAAUAGAUCCUGAAACCGUAUGCGUACAAGCAGUGGGAGCCCACUUUGUUGGGUGACUGCGUACCUUUUGUAUAAUGGGUCAGCGACUUAUUUUCAGUGGCGAGCUUAACCGAAUAGGGGAGGCGUAGCGAAAGCGAGUCUUAAUAGGGCGUCUAGUCGCUGGGAAUAGACCCGAAACCGGGCGAUCUAUCCAUGGGCAGGUUGAAGGUUGGGUAACACUAACUGGAGGACCGAACCGACUACCGUUGAAAAGUUAGCGGAUGACCUGUGGAUCGGAGUGAAAGGCUAAUCAAGCUCGGAGAUAGCUGGUUCUCCUCGAAAGCUAUUUAGGUAGCGCCUCAUGUAUCACUGUAGGGGGUAGAGCACUGUUUCGGCUAGGGGGUCAUCCCGACUUACCAAACCGAUGCAAACUCCGAAUACCUACAAGUGCCGAGCAUGGGAGACACACGGCGGGUGCUAACGUCCGUCGUGAAAAGGGAAACAACCCAGACCGUCAGCUAAGGUCCCAAAGUUAUGGUUAAGUGGGAAACGAUGUGGGAAGGCUUAGACAGCUAGGAGGUUGGCUUAGAAGCAGCCACCCUUUAAAGAAAGCGUAAUAGCUCACUAGUCGAGUCGGCCUGCGCGGAAGAUGUAACGGGGCUCAAACCAUACACCGAAGCUACGGGUAUCACGUAAGUGAUGCGGUAGAGGAGCGUUCUGUAAGCCUGUGAAGGUGAGUUGAGAAGCUUGCUGGAGGUAUCAGAAGUGCGAAUGCUGACAUGAGUAACGACAAUGGGUGUGAAAAACACCCACGCCGAAAGACCAAGGUUUCCUGCGCAACGUUAAUCGACGCAGGGUUAGUCGGUCCCUAAGGCGAGGCUGAAAAGCGUAGUCGAUGGAAAACAGGUUAAUAUUCCUGUACUUCUGGUUAUUGCGAUGGAGGGACGGAGAAGGCUAGGCCAGCUUGGCGUUGGUUGUCCAAGUUUAAGGUGGUAGGCUGAGAUCUUAGGUAAAUCCGGGAU